This 77-nucleotide transfer RNA is filed under the name bacterium. Its description in RNAcentral is "tRNA-Met". It matches the Rfam family "tRNA". Rfam says of the family: Transfer RNA (tRNA) molecules are approximately 80 nucleotides in length. Their secondary structure includes four short double-helical elements and three loops (D, anti-codon, and T loops). RNAcentral also lists the same sequence under 4 other names. The record is from RNAcentral.
CGCGGGGUGGAGCAGUUUGGUAGCUCGUCAGGCUCAUAACCUGAAGGUCGUAGGUUCAAAUCCUGCCCCCGCUACCA